RNAcentral lists this RNase P RNA (338 nucleotides) under Candidatus Saccharimonadota bacterium. RNAcentral describes it as "RNase P RNA component class A". It matches the Rfam family "Bacterial RNase P class A". Rfam says of the family: Ribonuclease P (RNase P) is a ubiquitous endoribonuclease, found in archaea, bacteria and eukarya as well as chloroplasts and mitochondria. Lineage: Bacteria; Candidatus Saccharimonadota. The record is from RNAcentral.
AGAGCCAGCAAGGCAAUCGCUUGGAAACACCCAAGAGGAAAGUCCGGGCAACAUAGAGCAAGGUAGUCGCUAACGGCGACCGUCCGUAAGGAUAGGGAAAGUACCACAGAAACAAUACUGCCCUUCACGGGGCGAUGGUGAAAAGAGUGGGGUAAGAGCCCACAGCAUCUCGUAGUGAUACGGGGUGGCGGCAAACCCUACCUGUUGCAAGGAGUGCUAUCAGCUUCUGCUCGAAGACGCACGCUCACCGCUUGAAUACUAUAGCAAUAUAGUAUCUAGAUAGAUGAUUGCCGACCCUUCACAGGGUUACAGAACCCGGCUUAAAAAUGGCUCAUUAU